GGGCCGUACCCGCAGCAUAUGCAAGUUCCCAGGCUAGGGGCUGAAUCAGAGUUGUGGCUGCCCGCCUACGCCACAGCCACAGCAACACCAAAUCCGAGCCAUGUCUGUGACCUACACCACAGCUCACAACAAUGCCAGAUCCUUAACCCACUGAGCGGGGCCAAAGAUCAAACCCACACCCUCAUGGACGCAUUGGGUUUGUUACCACUGAGCCACAACGGGAACUCAAACUGAUGAACACUUUUUUAAUCAUUAAGUAAAUGAUGAACCUCUGAAUAACUGUCAGUUUUUACAAAACAACCAAUGGUUUUCACUUGUACAGUCACUGUAUUCUCCAAGGAAGUUUUAAAGUUAUUUUCUAGAUGUUCUAGAACACACAAGAUACUUUAUUUGAAUGGCAGCUGUUAAUGAAUAUACUGGGAAACAUUGGGAGGCUUUAGAACACACCAUCCUGAAGCUUUAUCCAAAAAAAUCAAACAUGGAUGAAUCUACUUGGAAAAAUUUUAUCUAGUUGUAUUUAUGGCUUGUUGCAUUCAUGGCUUUUGACCCAUUUUUAGCUGAUUUCCUAAAAAUGGCAUAGGGUCUCCAAAGACCCCAAUUCUGGAUUCUAGAUACUAUACAGAAGUGUCUUUGGUGUUGCUUCUCUCUCUUUUUUUUUUUUUCUUCUAAUAUUUUACCACCUACUUUUAAAUGCCCAGGAACUCCUCUUAGAAAAUCAGCUCAGGCUGCCCCCCAACUCACAGCCUGCCUCAGAGUUAACAUUCCCAGUUACAUACACUCUGAGAACCUAAUCCUAAAUUUAAUUUGUAAUUUCCUCUGAAAUAUGUAAAGUCCCUUAGAAAGUUUUUUGGGUUGUUUUUUUUUUUUUUUUUUUUUUAUCUUUAAGUGCACAGUGAAGGCUUUAACCAUCUUAGUGGCACUGGAGUAAGUAAAUGGGUGUGGUCUGGGAAAGAAUAAAACACAGAAGGUCAGAGUUCACAUGCCCCGUCUACUGUUCACGAGCCAGGUGAGCUCUGGGCCAGUUCUUUGGUCUUGGUGGGACUCUCGUUUCUUAUCUAGGAAAUGGAAGGUAUUAAUACCUCCUUCACCACUGCGGCAGGUAUCAGCAAUGUCACAGGUACGGCACCAGGCACAUGUGCUCAAUUAGAUCACAGGGCUCAAGGCAGCCUGGUGCUCAAAGAACAGGCUCUACAGCAAGUCCAACUGUGAACACCCCCUCUACUACUUAACGGCGGUGGAGCCUUGAAAAAGUUAUUUAACUGCUCUGUGCCUCCAUUUCUUCAUCCAUAAAGUGAAGAUGAUAACAAUAAAAGCAUGUAGAUCACAUGAGGGUUAAAAAUAUUUUUAAACUUUUCAAACAAAUUGUCACAGAGUAAACAAAAAAAUAUUAGCUUUUAGAUCUUAGUAAUUAAUAAUACAGUGUGCUCCAGGGGUAACUUGGGGAGCUUGAAUAUUUUCUUCAAAAUAUAGAAACUGUAUUUCUUUUUCUCCCCAAAUAGGUAUUAAAAAGAGAAACACUGAAGGAAAUUUUUCUCUGCAGCUCACUUAUGUGUUUGUUUCUUGAACAUAAGGCCAUUAAAAUCAUUUACGUUUAUAGAACGUUAAAACAUAUAUUAGACCAAGGGAAAUGCUAAUGGUGAAAACAUUUGCUUCCAUUAUGUUCCUGGUUAAAUAAAAGAAGCAUUUCAUUCGGCCAGUGAAAUACUACUUCCUCAGAGAACGCAGGGAAGAUUAAUUACCCAAAUGCCCCGAAAGUUGCCUCUGCAUAAAUCCAAUCUAUCCUAGGGGCACAAGUGAAAAAAAUGUUUUUAGCAAAACCUGAGCUUAAU
This 1829-nucleotide long non-coding RNA is filed under the name Sus scrofa (pig). Its description in RNAcentral is "lncRNA (ENSSSCG00030019316.1)". Lineage: Eukaryota; Metazoa; Chordata; Mammalia; Artiodactyla; Suidae. The record is from RNAcentral.